GACGAACGCUGGCGGCGCGCUUAACACAUGCAAGUCGAACGGAAAGGCCUGCUUUCCCUUGUGGAUUGCGGGUACUCGAGUGGCGAACGGGUGAGUAACACGUGAGUGAUCUGCCCCCAACUUGGGUAUAAGCCUGGGAAACUGGGUCUAAUUCCCGAUAGGACUGCAGGGUGGUGCCUGUGGUGGAAAACGAUUUUCUAGUGGCUGGGGAUGAGCUCGCGGCCUAUCAGCUUGUUGGUGGGGUAAUGGCCUACCAAGGCGGCGACGGGUAGCCGGCCUGAGAGGGUGGACGGCCACAUUGGGACUGAGAUACGGCCCAGACUCCUACGGGAGGCAGCAGUGGGGAAUAUUGCACAAUGGGCGGAAGCCUGAUGCAGCGACGCCGCGUGGGGGAUGACGGCCUUCGGGUUGUAAACUCCUUUCGACCGCAAGGAAGCCACCUGGUUGGAAGGGUGGUGACGGUAGUGGUAGAAGAAGCACCGGCUAACUACGUG
RNAcentral lists this ribosomal RNA (494 nucleotides) under uncultured bacterium. RNAcentral describes it as "partial 16S ribosomal RNA". It matches the Rfam family "Bacterial small subunit ribosomal RNA", at positions 28 to 507 of the family's 1533-position model. The record is from RNAcentral.